GAAGGCUUAGGAUAGACAAAAACCGAGAGCCUUCAAAGCUCUAGACAGAAGUGGAAACCUUCUAGCCAUCG
This 71-nucleotide transfer RNA is filed under the name Rasbora steineri (Chinese rasbora). RNAcentral's name for it is "tRNA-Trp". It matches the Rfam family "tRNA". From Rfam's summary of the family: Transfer RNA (tRNA) molecules are approximately 80 nucleotides in length. Their secondary structure includes four short double-helical elements and three loops (D, anti-codon, and T loops). The record is from RNAcentral. Lineage: Eukaryota; Metazoa; Chordata; Actinopteri; Cypriniformes; Danionidae.